GUCACUGUGCCAUGAUGUAGGACAUUAGAACUCACCCCCGCUGGAUAUUGGCACCCGCUCCCAAGCUCUCUCUGUCCCCUCCGCCUGGCUGUCUCUGUCUUGCUCCAGGGUGGACGGCUAAGCGUCUGUUGGGGGAGGAGGAAGUGUGUCCUCAGUCCGGGCUCCCGACCCACACGACCUCAUGGGUGGCGGUGCCACUUGCCAACAAAGGAGAUGGGGGUGAAGAAAUGUGUUUUGGAGGAGGCUGGAAAGUGCCCGACAAAUGGUGUAUUCGUGUAUUCCGCUGGAUACAGGCUGAGUCUGAGUCAUGCAGGAAGCAUUUAAUUCACACUUUCUACAGUCCCUAAGACACCUGGGUGCCGCUCAGGAGAGAUGGGAGGGAGGGAGGGAGAAGUCCAGGUCACGAGCGUGGAAAAUGCCAUCUAGAGGCAGCGUGGAGAAAAAGCGUUUGCACCCAAGAUAGCAAAAGUUCCGGGCGACGGUGGCCGUGGGGGCCCAAGAAAGACCUGUCCGAGAGAAAGAGCAGAGAUGGGCCGGUCAUCCAGGACCGAGAGGGUGAAGAGAGUCCUCGGGUUCAGGACAGAAGUGUCACAGGUGGCCUGAGAAAUCUUCCGGAGGUUGGAAUCCCAAGGCUGUGGUUCACGGCCACUCACUGGUGCCCUGACCCAUGAAGGAAAUGAGACAGAGAGGCAGCCAUGAGGUACUGGCCAGGAGAAAGGAGGGACGGGAGGACAGGCGGAAACCACCCCCCAAAAGUCACCCCAAACAGGAGGGAAAGGGUCAAGGCAUGGACCCUCAUGGGGAGGACCAAAUUCAUGGCAGUGGCCAGGAGGCUGGACAUGGAGCUGCGAUUUAAAUGUUUAUUUUCAGGGAGACUCGAACCACAUCUGGAGCCUCGGUUUAACUUCGGCCAACAUUCAACAGCUGUUUCCUUUUUCAGUGCUCAACAGUGCACAUUUAAGGACAUUUUAAAACUAAUGUUUUCUAACUGCUACAAAUGUAACUCGGUAUUUUUUUAAACAAGGGCCCAAAUGAUUUCAAUCCAGAGGAUGUAGAUCCUACAAGGAAGCAAAGAAACAAGCCGCUUUUAGCAGUUGCAGAAAUGGAACCCCAGAGGGGCUUUAAAAGCGUGAGUCAUGAAAGAAUAAGUGCGAAGUUCGAACAUUUCCCGGAGAUCCCUGAGGGACAAGGGACUUGGCCCGGGUCUCCAGAGGGGAAGGAAGGUACCAGGAAGGAGCCACUUGCUGCCAGACCAGGAGCUGGUGCAGACAUCUGGGCUGGGCGCCACUGCAGCAGCGACAGAACCUGCCGGGACCCAGGGCCACCAAAGGGGCACACGGGGACAGCCUUGCUGCUGCAGAGAAAGGCUGCUACACGGAGACGGGGAGCCAGGCAGGAUCCUGGGGUUCCUGGCUCCAGGGAGAGAGGUGGGUCUGGUGAGCAAUCAUCUGUGACUGUUUUUAGCAUACUGCAGCCAUUCCUCAUUUAAUAACCGAGUUCCCUUCCUGCGACUGGGUGGUUAAGAGAACAGCUUCUAAAUGAAGAAUUGUAUAGCAUAGGAACACUACAAUACUCAGAACAAAGGAAUGGUCAAAGGAAACUCCAACUUGAUGACUUCGCUUUUAUUUCUGUAACUCUUACAUCCAGCACUGUAAUGCACAACAACAAAAAGUACAGCACUGCCCUGCAUAGUAAGGCCAGCAAAAAUUACAGUACUGUAUAAACAAGGCGUACUGUACAAAAAGACACUGAGGCUCUAUUAGCAAGGUAUACAGAACUGUACCCCCAAAAAGGUCAUAAAUCCAAACAACGCACCUCCAUCAUAAAUCUGAGUAGUCGUUCAACAGGUAGGUCGUCAAAUGAGGAAUAGGAGUAUUUGUAUUUUAAGCUCCCAGGUGAGGUGGCUGAGACCCAUAGGCCACACAGCCGUGCAGGACACUGACAGUAUACUACGUGGCAGACAGUGACUGAGCAAGGCCCUCAGCCUCGGACAGCUGCCCUAAACUAAAGGACAGGACAGCUCCUCAGGUCUAAGAUGCUGUGUGCUUGCUCUGCCUGAUUUGUAACAUACGUGUAGGAGAGGAAACUCAUGAAACUGGUCAUCAUUUUAAUCCAUGUCUGCUGGACUCUGGAGCAGACACAUGGGGUGGGGGAUCCUAAAUGUCCCCCCAGACCUAUUCACCCAAAUCAGGAGUAAAUCACUAGAGAAGCACAACUCAAAAUCAGCAAGCUGUUUUCCUUCCUUUUUGUUUGCAGAAACUCAUCUGGAUUUAGCUGACCACAGGGGAAAAGUUUACUUCCAGAAAAUACGUCAGAACCGACUCUUUAUUUCCGCAUUUCUAACAUGGACUAGUCUCCAAAUAUUUCUACACGCCUCAAGUGGGAUGUGAAACCGAUUCAUAGUUUUCAUGUGAUAAUGAUUUUCCCCUAAAACAAACAUUAAAUUGAUGAGCUAAUCAGGAAGCAUCUUAGAAUUGAGGAGCUAUACCAUGUUUUUCAGGUGGUAAAUACCUUGGAAACUUACAGUGGAGCCAUUUUAAGAGAGGAAGUUCUAGAAAAUGCCUCUCAUGUGACCCAACACGGCUGUGACAUGGACCAUAGAGAGACCAUGCCCUGCCUACAAUGCCAGGAGAAAUGAGGGCACCGGAGAAAACAGCUGCCAACUGGACCUUUCCUAAACUCAGUCCUGAAGGACCGGCCAGGGUCUGUCUACGGCAGAUGCAAAAUUCCUUGCAAAUCUUUGCUGCAAUAAGGUGUAUGCUGUACAAGCUGGCUUAUGAUCUCACAGCACUGCGCAUGUGGCGAGAGGUGUCCUUUGUUGUUUGCACGGUAUUGAGUUUUACACUAGCAGAUCAUUUCAUUUUUAUUGGUGCAAAAGCAAGGUUUAACAUAAAUUCUUGGAUCACUUAUAGUUUCACAAAGCUACUUAAUUCCCUGAUCAUCUUUCUCUCAUCUGUAAGGAGAAAUGAAUAGCUGUAAUAGUGAUAUAAGGAUCAUUACCUAUCAACAAAGAUUAUUCCAGAAUUCUUUCUGGAAUCAAAUGAGCUAUGAAGAAAAGAACAAACCAAAAGAUAAAAAGAUCAUGGUAUUCAAUAAAUGGUAGUUUGUUCUCCAUGGUAUUUUAUACUUCUUUCUAUUGCAAAGGGGGAGAAUUUUACCGCUGCAAUCAACAAAUAUAUGAAAAGAACUUACCACCAUCAAUGGUGACACAUCCCAAUGUAGCUAAUUAUUUCACCUGAUUCAGAGUGAGACUCUGUCGCAAAUUAAAACCAAAGGCAUAUAAUUUCAGAGGAAAGACUGCCCUGAAUGACAAGAAGGAAUAUAAUGUAAGUACAGCAGAAGACCAUGACUCAGAAGUCGCCCGGUGGGACUGAGUAGCUCGCACUGUACGAGUCUGUGCUCCCCUUACGGACAGGAGAUACAAUUAAUUCCCCACGAGUGAAGAUAAAGAUCGUUCUAUCCCUUCAGGAAUUGUCUGAUACUUUUCAAGAAAGAACACUCAAAUUGAAAUGUAGAGGGGAAAAAGGGCAAAUAAAUAAGCACGCCUAGCUUCAGGGAACAUUGUAGCUUUUGUUCUUCUUGAGUUCUUCGUUUUGCGAGGUUGGAGUCUUCUGCGGUUGAAAGUUACAAGAAGGGGCUGCUGUUUCAGCUGUGCUCCCACCAAGGCCCAUGUGGGACAUCUUCCCUACUUGGUACUGCAUCCAGAGAUCAAAUACUUUGGAAAGAUGCUAAAUACGUAUUUGUGAGAUAAGACACACAAGGGCUGAUCUAUUGACAAGAUUAAGGUUCUCCAGCACACUGCUGUCUUGCACGUGUCUGCCCAUGUAUUUCCUCAAAGAGAGCCUCAGCACUCCACCAUGCUACUUCCAAUCUGUUAAGUGUUGGUUCCCUCCCCCUCCCUUCUCUUUACUAGGAGACUUUAGGGAGGGUGGUUCCCCUCCCUUGCCCCAAGCCAUAUCUCCUGGGCUCGAUGCCCCCGAUGCUCCACUGUGGGUUGACUUGGGCCAACCGGUAGGAGAGACCACUAGGACCCAAGAGUGAGAGUUAACGAUGU
Heterocephalus glaber (naked mole-rat) is the source of this 4054-nucleotide long non-coding RNA. RefSeq lists it as uncharacterized. NCBI's taxonomy places the organism in Eukaryota, Metazoa, Chordata, Mammalia, Rodentia, Bathyergidae. The record is from RefSeq and is a predicted model, not a curated record.